CAGGCCCAGGGAGCUCUCAGGGCGGGGAGGAGAAGGAACACAUCUUUUCCCUAAAGGACAUCCCGCCUCCCUAGGAUGGGGCGGACCAGCCAGGGCGCUGUGAUCCUCCUGUCGUCUUCUCUUCUCUCCCCAGGCAAGAGCUGCCCUGACUAGAAUGGAAGUUCUUUGAGGGCAAGGAAAUUCCUUGAGAGCAACAUUGCUCACCGCUGUCCCUGAAGUAUCUCCUCAGUGCCCGGCACAUGACUGUAAACUGAGGCAGAAGAGAGAUGAACUGAUUUGCCUAAGGUCACACAGCUGGAGAGACGCAUAGAGAGAGGCAGAGAGAGAAGCAGGGUCCCUGCAGGGAUCCCGACGUGGGACUCCAUCUCAAGACUCCGGGGUCACGCCCUGAGCCCAAGGCAGACGCCCAACCGCUGAGCCCCCCAGGUGCGCCAGUGAGGACAAAGCCUUGCCUUAUUGCCUGCUAAAGCUGUCACACCGGGAGCAAACCGCGGUCC
Long non-coding RNA from Nyctereutes procyonoides (raccoon dog), 497 nucleotides. RefSeq lists it as uncharacterized. The record is from RefSeq and is a predicted model, not a curated record. Lineage: Eukaryota; Metazoa; Chordata; Mammalia; Carnivora; Canidae. The transcript has 4 exons.